AUAUUAAUAAGCGGAGGAAAAGGAACUAACCAGGAUUCCCCUAGUAACGGCGAGUGAAGCGGGAAGAGCUCAACUUGAAAAUCGGUGUGCCAAGCGGUACAUCGAGUUGUAGUCUCGAGAUGCACCGUCAGCGCGUGACCUCGGUACAAGUCCUUUGGAAUAGGGCGUCAGAGAGGGUGAGAAUCCCGUUCAGGACCGGGAGUUCGCCGCGUACGACGUGCAUUCGAAGAGUCGGGUUGCUUGGGAAUGCAACUCCAAUUGGGUGGUAAAUUUCAUCUAAAGCUAAAUAUCCACGAGAGACCGAUAGCGAACAAGUACCGUGAGGGAAAGAUGAAAAGAACUUUGAAAAGAGAGUCAAAAAGUACUUGAAAUUGCUAAGAGGGAAGCGAUGGCCACCAGUAGGUGCGCCUCAGGAAUUCACCUGUUGUGUCUGUGAAGCGCGACGGUGGAUCUGGGUGCUGCAAAGCCCUGGGUCUGCUCCGAUUUCUUUGCGGGCCGGCGGUGUCCAGUCCUGGGGCGCGGGUCAGCCUCAGUUGAGUUUCUUUGUCGUGGGAGAAUACCGGCGGGAAGAUAGGGGACGCCUUUUCGGAGGCUGCCCUGUUACAGACUGUCGGCUAUACCACGG
Molecule: ribosomal RNA, 625 nt
Filed under: uncultured fungus
Lineage: Eukaryota; Fungi
Description: eukaryotic LSU rRNA
Rfam family: Eukaryotic large subunit ribosomal RNA
Source: RNAcentral